CCUACGGGAGGCAGCAGUGGGGAAUAUUGGGCAAUGGGCGCAAGCCUGACCCAGCAACGCCGCGUGAAGGAAGAAGGCUUUCGGGUUGUUAACUUCUUUUGGCCGGGAAGCGUAGAAGACGGUACCUGACGAAUAAGCCACGGCUGACUACGUGCCAGCAGCCGCGGUAAUACGGGGGUGGCAAGCGUUGUCCGGAUUUACUGGGUGUAAAGGGGGUGUAGCCGGGAUGACAUGGCAGAUGGGAAAACCUGGGGCUUAAACGCAGAACUGCAUUUGAAACUGGUGAUCUUGAGUACUGGAGAGGCAGACGGAAUGCCUAGUGUAGCGGUGAAAUGCGUAGAUAUUAGGAGGAACACCAGUGGCGAAGGCGGUAUGCUGGCCAGCAACUGACGGUGAGGCGCGAAAGCGUGGGGAGCAAACAGGAUUAGAUACCCGGGUAGUC
This 442-nucleotide ribosomal RNA is filed under the name uncultured bacterium. RNAcentral's name for it is "partial 16S ribosomal RNA". It matches the Rfam family "Bacterial small subunit ribosomal RNA", at positions 338 to 795 of the family's 1533-position model. The record is from RNAcentral.